CUACGGGUCGCUGCAGUGGGAAUAUUGCGCAAUGGGCGAAAGCCUGACGCAGCGACGCCGCGUGAGUGAUGAAGGCCCUAUGGGUUGUAAAGCUCUGUAAGGAGGGAAGAACCGCCUGGUGUAACGGCCAGGUCUGACGGUACCUCCAAAGUAAGCACCGGCUAAAUAUGUGCCAGCAGCCGCGGUAAUACAUAUGGUGCGAGCGUCGUCCGGAAUAACUGGGCGUAAAGGGUGCGUAGGUUGACUCACAAGUCAGGUGUGAAAUCCCAGGGCUUAACCUUGGAAUGGCGCUUGAAACUGUAAGUCUAGAGCAUGUGAGGGGUUAGCGGACUUCCCGGAGUAGCGGUGAAAUGCGUAGAGAUCGGGAAGAACACCGGUGGCGAAGGCGGCUAACUGGCACAUUGCUGACACUGAGGCACGAAAGCGUGGGGAGCGAACGGGAUUAGAUACCCGGGUAGUC
This 460-nucleotide ribosomal RNA is filed under the name uncultured bacterium. RNAcentral describes it as "partial 16S ribosomal RNA". It matches the Rfam family "Bacterial small subunit ribosomal RNA", at positions 339 to 795 of the family's 1533-position model. The record is from RNAcentral.